ACUGUUUGUUUUGCACAUGCAUUGUUAUCUGUAUAAUGGAAUGUUAUGUGAAGGUCAUACAUGUAAGAUAUUUAUCUUGCUAUAUUACCUGUGGAAAUUCUUAAAUAUGACAGAAUUUUUCCUUAAAUUCAUAAGAAAUCUUAUAUAACUCAAUGGAUAGUUUUCAUUAUAAAACUUAUGUACAUAUACUUUUUUCUGAAGAAAAUUCUUUAAUUUGUUCAUAUUCCGAAUAAGUUUACUUUAUUUUAAUUGCUUCCAGGAAGCAAUUUCCCGACAUUUUUCCGUAUGCAAAGUGACCUCAGUGUGACUAGUCUCGUAAAAAUAUUAUCUGACUCUACAUGUUAAACACGUGCUCAAUAUCAGUGCAUUUUUGUUGAUUGUUGACGAACAGGUGACAAUCGUUAAACUUCGGCUUCAAAACACGAACUUUAAUUACCUGCCAUAUUUUCACAACAACACUGACCGAUUGUAAAAAAAUUUGACGAUUAUACGAAAUUUAUGCGAAUAAAAUGAUAAAAUCGUGCACAUACGACUUAGUUUAUGAUGUUUGUAUGCAUUGGUUCAGGAAUUGGAAUAAAAUUAUUUUUCACCGGUCACUCGUUUCUUGUGACUUUAAUUUUGAUAUGUUUCAGUUUUUGAUUUUGCUAUUCGAUAAUAAAUGACUGUCUGACUAAAAACAAUCUUUAAUGUUCGGAAUGUUUGCUGCCUUUUCAGUUGAGUAGCAGUCAUUAAUCGGUUAUCCACCAUAUUCUACAUAUAAAAAUGUGUGUACCAAGUCAGGAAUGUUUUUUAUUCGUUCGAUGUGUUUGAACUUAUACUUCUGUCAUUUCUUAAAGGACUUUCCAUUUUUUCCUAAGAUUCAUUUUUUUAACGUGUGUUUUAUUCAAGAUUCUACAUAUUGUGUAAGCUAAAUGUAUUGUUAUGAUGUCAACAAAUCGGAUUGCUGUAGUGCAUUUGUCUACAAUCCACUCUUACAAAGUCUAAAAAAAAUAUUAAUCUGCAGUAAGUUUAUGUAUUAAAGUUAUUCGUUUUUAUUUAAUGUUGUGCUUAAUUCAGGCUAUAUUCUGCUCAAAAUUAUACUAUUUACAUCUAUGUACUCGAAAUAAAUGAUUGUGUGAGGAUUAUAUAUAUUGAAUAAACAUGAUAUAUAUAAAAUAAAACAUGAAUAUCAAUAUGCUCAUGAUUAAACUAUCUGAAAUUAGACAACAAUUCCCUACUUCUUUAUUUAAGUUUCAGAAAACAAGA
RNAcentral lists this long non-coding RNA (1245 nucleotides) under Mytilus galloprovincialis (Mediterranean mussel). The record is from RNAcentral. Lineage: Eukaryota; Metazoa; Mollusca; Bivalvia; Mytilida; Mytilidae.